Molecule: ribosomal RNA, 405 nt
Filed under: uncultured bacterium
Lineage: Bacteria
Description: partial 16S ribosomal RNA
Rfam family: Bacterial small subunit ribosomal RNA
Source: RNAcentral
GAUGAACGCUGGCGGCGUGCCUAAUACAUGCAAGUCGAGCGAAGCGGGGAAGGGUGAGUAACACGUGGAUAACCUCCUAUAAGACUGGGAUAACUUCGGGAAACCGGAGCUAAACCGGAUAAUUAUAGAAGGAUCAGCGCUGCAUUAGCUAGUUGGUAAGGUAACGGAUUACCAAGGCAACGAUGCAUAUCCGACCUGAGAGGGUGUUCGCCCACACUGGAACUGAGACACGUUCCAGACUCCUACGGGAGGCAGCAGUAGGGAAUCUUCCGCAAUGGGCGAAAGCCUGACGGAGCAACGCCGCGUGAGUGAAGAAGGUUUUCGGAUCGUAAAACUCUGUUGUUAGAGAAGCGGUAUCUAACCAGAAAGCCACGGCUAACUACGUGCCAGCCGCCGCGGUAAUUC